Molecule: long non-coding RNA, 4424 nt
Filed under: Lathyrus oleraceus (garden pea)
Lineage: Eukaryota; Viridiplantae; Streptophyta; Magnoliopsida; Fabales; Fabaceae
Description: Pisum sativum (pea) long non-coding RNA (PSAT_LNC034063)
Source: RNAcentral
UUUACUACACCAAAUCAUUAUUGAAAGAAUCAUUUAUCCUUAUUUCAUAUCUUUUUUAAAAAAAUCAAAUAUAUGUGUUAAACACUAAAACAAGAGAAUAUGCGGAUUUUUUACGAUUAAUUUUAUUGACUUAUAUUGUAAUUUGUUGAUAUUUGAGUUGUUUUAAAUAUGAAAUUCUUAAAUAAAAUAUAUUGAUAACAAAAUAUGUUGUUUUAAAAAAAUUACAAUGAAAAAAAGAAAUAAAAAAAUGACGUUUUUAUAUACAAAGAUGGGUUAAAGUUAUGAAAAAUAAGACAAAUAUUAAAAAUAACGUAGAGUUACUAUUGUUAGAAACAUGAAACCUAUUAGAUGGAUACAUGGCAAAAGAGGUAAGUUUGCUUUUUUACAUUAUAGGAUGGGUGGAAGAACUCUAAAUGCAUGACUUUGAAUUAAAAUGGCAUUUACAAAUACUGAUUACUUAGCUAAUUAUUGUAUUUUUUCUCAUCAUAGUAGCCUUCUUGAGGUGACUAUGUUUACUACACCAAAUCAAAUUGACUUAAAUUGUAAUGUGUUGAUAUUUGAGUUGUUUUAAAUAUGAAAAUCUAAAAUAAAAUAUAUUGAUAUCAAAAUAUGUUGUUUAAAAAAAUUACAAUGAAAAAAAGAAAUAAAAAAAAAGAGGUUUUUAUAGACAAAGAUGGGUUAAAGUUAUGAAAAAUAAAACAAAUAUUGAAAAUAACGUAGAGUUACUUUUGUUAGAAACAUGAAACCUAUUAGAUGGAUACAUGGCAAAAGAGGUAAGUUUGCUUUUUUACAUUAUAGGAUGGGUUGAAGCACUCCAAAUGCAUGACUUUGAAUUAAAAUGGCAUAUACAAAUACUGAUUACUUAGCUACUUAUUGUAUUUUUUUUCAUCAUAGUAGCCUUCUAUAGGUGAUUAUGUUUACUACACCAAAUCAUUAUUGAAAGAAUCAUUUAUCCUUAUUUCAUACGUUUUUAAAAAAAAUCAAAUAUAUGUGUUAAACACUAAAACAAGAGAAUAUGCGGAUUUUUUAUGAUUAAUUUUAUUGACUUAAAUUGUAAUGUGUUGAUAUUUGAGUUGUUUUAAAUAUGAAAAUCUAAAAUAAAAUAUAUUGAUAUCAAAAUAUGUUGUUUAAAAAAAUUACAAUGAAAAAAAGAAAUAAAAAAAUGACGUUUUUAUAGACAAAGAUGGGUUAAAGUUAUGAAAAAUAAAACAAAUAUUGAAAAUAACGUAGAGCUACUUUUGUUAGAAACAUGAAACCUAUUAGAUGGAUACAUGGCAAAAGAGCUAAGUUUGCUUUGAACAUUAUAGGAUGGGUUGAAGCACUCCAAAUGCAUGACUUUGAAUUAAAAUGGCAUAUACAAAUACUGAUUACUUAGCUACUUAUUGUAUUUUUUUUCAUCAUAGUAGCCUUCUAUAGGUGACUAUGUUUACUACACCAAAUCAUUAUUGAAAGAAUCAUUUAUCCUUAUUUCAUACCUUUUUAAAAAAAAUCAAAUAUAUGUGUUAAACACUAAAACAAGAGAAUAUGCGGAUUUUUUAUGAUUAAUUUUAUUGACUUAAAUUGUAAUGUGUUGAUAUUUGAGUUGUUUUAAAUAUGAAAAUCUAAAAUAAAAUAUAUUGAUAUCAAAAUAUGUUGUUUAAAAAAAUUACAAUGAAAAAAAGAAAUAAAAAAAUGACGUUUUUAUAGACAAAGAUGGGUUAAAGUUAUGAAAAAUAAAACAAAUAUUGAAAAUAACGUAGAGCUACUUUUGUUAGAAACAUGAAACCUAUUAGAUGGAUACAUGGCAAAAGAGCUAAGUUUGCUUUGAACAUUAUAGGAUGGGUUGAAGCACUCCAAAUGCAUGACUUUGAAUUAAAAUGGCAUAUACAAAUACUGAUUACUUAGCUACUUAUUGUAUUUUUUUUCAUCAUAGUAGCCUUCUAUAGGUGACUAUGUUUACUACACCAAAUCAUUAUUGAAAGAAUCAUUUAUCCUUAUUUCAUACCUUUUUAAAAAAAAUCAAAUAUAUGUGUUAAACACUAAAACAAGAGAAUAUGCGGAUUUUUUAUGAUUAAUUUUAUUGACUUAAAUUGUAAUGUGUUGAUAUUUGAGUUGUUUUAAAUAUGAAAAUCUAAAAUAAAAUAUAUUGAUAUCAAAAUAUGUUGUUUAAAAAAAUUACAAUGAAAAAAAGAAAUAAAAAAAUGACGUUUUUAUAGACAAAGAUGGGUUAAAGUUAUGAAAAAUAAAACAAAUAUUGAAAAUAACGUAGAGCUACUUUUGUAAGAAACAUGAAACCUAUUAGAUGGAUACAUGGCAAAAGAGCUAAGUUUGUUUUUUUACAUUAUAGGAUGGGUUGAAGCACUCUAAAUGCAUGACUUUGAAUUAAAAUGGCAUUUACAAUUACUUAUUACGUAACUACUGAUUGUAUUUUUUAAUCAUAGUAGCCUUUUCAAGGUGACUAUGUUUACUACACCAAAUCAUUAUUGAAAGAAUCAUUUAUCCUUAUUUCAUAUCUUUUUAUAAAAAAAUCAAAUAUAUGUGUUAAACAAUAAAAUAAGAGAAUAUGCGGAUUUUUUAUGAUUAAUUUAAUUGACUGAAAUUGUAAUGUGUUGAUAUUUGAGUUGUUUUAAAUAUGAAAAUCUUAAAUAAAAUAUAUUGAUAUCAAAAUAUGUUGUUUUAAAAAAAUUACAAUGAAAAAAAGAAAUAAAAAAAUGACAAUGAAAAAAAGAACUUAAAAAAUGACGUUUUUAUAUACAAAGAUGGGUUAAAGUUAUGAAAAAUAAGACAAAUAUUGAAAAUAACGUAGAGCUACUUUUGUUAGAAACAUGAAACCUAUUAGAUGGAUACAUGGCAAAAGAGCUAAGUUUGCUUUUUUACAUUAUAGGAUGGGUUGAAGCACUCUAAAUGGAUGACUUUGAAUUAAAAUGGCAUUUACAAUUACUUAUUACGUAACUACUGAUUGUAUUUUUUAAUCAUAGUAGCCUUUUCAAGGUGACUAUGUUUACUACACCAAAUCAUUAUUGAAAGAAUCAUUUAUCCUUAUUUCAUAUCUUUUUAUAAAAAAAUCAAAUAUAUGUGUUAAACAAUAAAAUAAGAGAAUAUGUAGAUUUUUUAUGAUUAAUUUAAUUGACUGAAAUUGUAAUGUGUUGAUAUUUGAGUUGUUUUAAAUAUGAAAAUCUUAAAUAAAAUAUAUUGAUAUCAAAAUAUGUUGUUUUAAAAAAAUUACAAUGAAAAAAAGAAAUAAAAAAAUGACGUUUUUAUAUACAAAGAUGGGUUAAAGUUAUGAAAAAUAAGACAAAUAUUAAAAAUAACGUAGAGUUACUUUUGUUAGAAACAUGAAACCUAUUAGAUGGAUACAUGGCAAAAGAGGUAAGUUUGCUUUUUUACAUUAUAGGAUGGGUUGAAGAACUCUAAAUGCAUGACUUUGAAUUAAAAUGGCAUUUACAAAUACUGAUUACUUAGCUAAUUUUUGUAUUUUUUCUCAUCAUAGUAGCCUUCUUGAGGUGACUAUGUUUACUACACCAAAUCAUUAUUGAGAGAAUCAUUUAUCCUUAUUUCAUACCUUUUUUAAAAAAAUCAAAUAUAUGUGUUUAACACUAAAACAAGAGAAUAUGUGGAUUUUUUAUGAUUAAUUUUAUUGACUUAAAUUCUAAUGUGUUGAUAUUUGAGUUGUUUUAAAUAUGAAAAUCUAAAAUAAAAUAUAUUGAUAUCAAAAUAUGUUGUUUAAAAAAAUUACAAUGAAAAAAACAAAUAAAAAAAUGACGUUUUUAUAGUCAAAGAUGGGUUAAAUUUAUGAAAAACAAGACAAAUAGUGAAAAUAACGUAGAGCUACUUUUGUUAUAAACAUGAAACCUAUUAGAUGGAUACAUGGCAAAAGAGCUAAGUUUACUUUUUUACAUUAUAGGAUGGGUUGAAGCACUCUAAAUGGAUGACUUUGAAUUAAAAUGGCAUUUACAAUUACUUAUUACGUAACUACUGAUUAUAUUUUUUAAUCAUAGUAGCCUUUUCAAGGUGACUAUGUUUACUACACCAAAUCAUUAUUGAAAGAAUCAUUUAUCCUUAUUUCAUAUAUUUUUAUAAAAAAAUCAAAUAUAUGUGUUAAACAAUAAAAUAAGAGAAUAUGUAGAUUUUUAAUGAUUAAUUUAAUUGACUGAAAUUGUAAUGUGUUGAUAUUUGAGUUGUUUUAAAUAUGAAAAUCUUAAAUAAAAUAUAUUGAUUUCAAAAUAUGUUGUUUUAAAAAAAUUACAAUGAAAAAAAGAAGUAAAAAAAUUACAAUGAAAAAAAGAAAUAAAAAAAAGACGUUUUUAGAGACAAAGAUGGGUUAAAGUUAUGAAAAAUAAAACAAAUAUUGAAAAUAGCGUAGAGGUACUUUUGUAAGAAACAUGAAACCUAUUAGAUGGAUACAUGGCAAAAGAGCUAAGUUUGCUUUGAACAUUAUAGGAUGG